This 489-nucleotide ribosomal RNA is filed under the name uncultured Colwellia sp. RNAcentral describes it as "bacterial SSU rRNA". It matches the Rfam family "Bacterial small subunit ribosomal RNA", at positions 41 to 524 of the family's 1533-position model. The record is from RNAcentral. Lineage: Bacteria; Pseudomonadati; Pseudomonadota; Gammaproteobacteria; Alteromonadales; Colwelliaceae.
GGGGGGCAGCUACCAUGCAGUCGAACGGAAACAUGUCUAGCUUGCUAGAUGAUGUCGAGUGGCGGACGGGUGAGUAAUACUUAGGAACAUGCCCUUGGGUGGGGGAUAACUAUUGGAAACGAUAGCUAAUACCGCAUAACGUCUACGGACCAAAGGGGGGAGCUUGCUCCUCUCGCCCAAAGAGUGGCCUAAGCGAGAUUAGCUUGUUGGUGAGGUAAAGGCUCACCAAGGCGACGAUCUCUAGCUGUUCUGAGAGGAAGAUCAGCCACACUGGGACUGAGACACGGCCCAGACUCCUACGGGAGGCAGCAGUGGGGAAUAUUGCACAAUGGAGGAAACUCUGAUGCAGCCAUGCCGCGUGUGUGAAGAAGGCCUUCGGGUUGUAAAGCACUUUCAGUUGUGAGGAAAGCUUGGUGGUUAAUACCCAUCAGGUAUGACGUUAGCAACAGAAGAAGGACCGGCUAACUCCGUGCCAGCAGCCGCGGUAAC